Molecule: transfer RNA, 71 nt
Filed under: Loxodonta africana (African savanna elephant)
Lineage: Eukaryota; Metazoa; Chordata; Mammalia; Proboscidea; Elephantidae
Description: tRNA-Arg (TCT) (tRNA-Arg-TCT-13-1)
Rfam family: tRNA
About the family: Transfer RNA (tRNA) molecules are approximately 80 nucleotides in length.
Source: Rfam by way of RNAcentral
GCAUUGGUAGUUCAGUGGUAGAAUUCUUGCCUUCUGUGCUGGAGACCUGGGUUCGAUUCCCAGCCAAUACA